CUCAAAAGUAUACAGAGGAAAUAAGACGUUCAUCUGACGCUACUUCAUACUAUGAACUAAAUGAAUAACAUGACAAAUGAUCACCUGAUUAUCCUGUUUCAUAUCGUAUGUCUCCACAGCUUGUGUAAUAGUGUAACCAAUGUCAAUCUGCUGGCUUCAGAUGUUUGUGUGUCAUUGUAGUUAAAACGGAGAACUUUAAGACUCACGGUGACACAUUUGGAGACGAGUGCUGCAAAAAUGACUCAGAACAAUCUCUAUAAUAUAAUGAAGUAAAAGGAAUCGGGUUUGAGUAUCAACCACCCCGCGACUCCCAAAUGGCAGUUGGCGCGCAAAAUGGGAACAAGUAGGACACGUUUGGGAUUAGUUGCACCUUUGGGAGUAAAACAGCAGCGUGGUGACGAUAUCAAAUCUGUGGUCAAUAAUCCCUCGUUGUUGUUGUACACAGUAGCCACUAAUCUAAAAAGCCAAUACAAUUAAUUUAAUUCUGGUAAGUAAAGACAUGUCAAGUUUAAUGUUGUCCGUUGAAAUGCCCACAGUUAAAUGUUAAUAUUGAGUGUGGAAUUUAAAUUUUGGACCUUUAUGUUCUAUUGAAAACCCAAAUUGUCUUCCAAACCAGAGCAAUGUUCAAGCCUGCUGCUCGUCAUUUGUUGUCCAUCUAUUUCUCCAUGGAAACCUCAACUCGAGUGUUUGCUUGGUGCAGAAAUGCUCGUCCAGUGGAGCCGUAGAAGUACAGAAUGCAUCAUUUCCAAAGGCAGGUCUCCAGUGCUGCCCAGUGGAGUGGACAGGGGGACAAUGGACCCAUUAUCAGUGCGUUGUUCUGUCACCAGUCUCUGUCCAGCACAAUCCCAGCAGCAACCCCCCUUCCACUUGCCUCCAUGUCUACAUAGUACCGUGAAAGCAUGUGUAUGUUUACACCAUGCAGAUCCUACCGUGUGUUUUACGCUACACACACACACACACACACACACACACACACACACACACACACACACACACACACACACACACACACACACACACACACACACACACCAUCAAUGUCAUCUGGAAAAAAACAAUGCAUUUCUCAACAAUGCAUUUUGGAGGUAUUUAUUUAGGGUUUUAAAAGGAGAGCACACCCACUCUGCUGCCCGGUUAGCCACAAGCUUUGGAGCGUUUACUGGUUGUCUCCCACAUCACUAUUGCUGUUACUAGUGAUAGUGACUAUCUUCUAAACCGGAUCCAUUUGGUGUCGCCUCGUGCGAGGAAACGUUAGCAACAGCUAGCAAUGGCUAAACACGUUCUCUCUUCCUAAUGAUGUUCUGUGAUCGUCUUGACGGUAUUCAAAAUAUAUACAUUUCAAUCUAAAGUUUUUUUUCUUUUUUGCAUGUUUGAAUGUAAAAGUAAGAAGCUUCGAAUGCUAACCUCCUAGAAUAAUGUUUUAAUUGGAAUCCAGCUGGACCGGUGUUUGAGAUGCUUCGGCACCAGGGCCGAUUGCGGUGCCCCUUUGAAUGAACACCACCUGCUUUAUGCAGAGAUCUGCUUCUGAGUCACAUGACCUGGCGUCACCUAUCGGAUGACUCAACUUGUCAAAACUAAAAGAGAGGACUCGGGGAGAGACAGAAGACCACUGCCUGUGAGAAGAUCUCACAUUACCUUGGAUCCAUAAAGAAAAAGGUCUAAAACAAGCUAAGAACUUGUCUGGCCUUGUUUCCUCUGGCAGAGGACUCGGGGAGAGACAGAAGACCACUGCCUGUGAGAAGAUCUCACAUUACCUUGGAUCCAUAAAGAAAAAGGUCUAAAACAAAUAAAGGAUAUCUCAUAAAAUCCACAGUGAAACAAGCAGGAGGACCAUGUGAAGAAGGUAUUAUCGUGCAACCCUUUCCCAGAUCAGGACCCGUAUGGGACCCAUCGUCCCUCCAUGAAGCCACAAGAGCUCCAAACCGCAACAGAAAGGUCCAAUAAGAGGCCGGAGAAAAGGGGAUUGUUUUGAUUAAAAGACAAUUAUCUGUGCGCAUGGACUUCCCAGUGUUGUGCGGUGUCAGGCUCCAGCUGAGCUGCUCCGUCCCAGAAGGCCUCGGGAGACAAUGGCCACUGUGUCCACAGGGUGGGGGGGUUGUUUCAUGACUCGGUCACAGCACCAUGCAACUGUGUGAAUACUGUUAAUGCCACGUAUGGGCUUAGUAGUGGGACGGUUACCCCGAAGUUGAUGUUCAAUCACCUGAAAACGACUAAACAACAAUGGGGUGAAGGCGUAAAUCGGCCUUUAAAUUAGUCUCCAGGUGGAACUCAUCAAGUUCAAAUAAUUCGCUGGGCUUUAUCCUGGAGCCCAGCAAAUGUAGUUAUUAGUUAGUAUUAGUCGAGACCGGGACGUGAACAGUAAUGCAGCGCAGUUAUUGUAAUUAUGUGUUUUCAACCAUUCAGUUCGUCAUGUAACUUUUAUGAAGCAUUUCGGGGUAGAGAGCUGAAAUGCUAUAAAGGUGCCUGCAACUGGCCUAUAUUGUGAGAUAUCAGUAGGCGUACAUCAAAGAAUUAUUUUAGUGAUCAGAAAACAGACAUUUUGACAAAAUGCUAGCUGCGCGAGCUAACAACGUUAUGAUGUAUUAUAACAAUGUAAUAGUGAGUGCCGGCUCUCCUCUUUUUCCUGCUGAUGCCUCACGUUUUAUUGCCUGUUUCCUCUGAUUAGGAGCUUAUUGAAACAUGGUUAUAGAUUCUUCACGGCAUCCCGUCCCUCGGCAGCUUUUAGCUAGCAGAAUGGCUAGCAGCCAUUGGUCGACUAUCGUUUUUUACAUCAUGUUAGUUAUUUUUCUUGUCAAACUUAUUAAUGCUAUGUAAUGCGUUUUGGAUUUUUAAAUCAAGCUACAGUAGUAAUUGCAGUUUGAGGUUUUAAAAAUCAAAACAAAUUAACUUUCUGUGAGUUGAUUUUUUCCUUUGAGUGAAAUCGUUGGAAACCUUUUGCUGCCCAGAAGGUGGGAAGGCACUCGAUUUAUCUUGAACCGUUACGUCGCGCUCAAUGUGAUGGUUCUUCAGAUUCUCUCGACUCUUAAGUUUCUUUAGGAGUAACAGAUUAGACUCAAAGGCGUCCUCAAUGCUUCCCCUCAUAAUGGCGCCCGUCAUCAGCCUCUCUAAAACUCACUUCCUGUCUUUUGUUACAAAAACCUCGAAACAAAAAAGUGUCCAUAUGUCUGAAAUGACCAAAUAUGCUCAGUUCCAUCCAGCGUCCAGCGACUGUCCGUGUGGGAUAGAAAGGCCUCAGAGCUCAAAGCCUCUCCCUUAUCUGCUGGGGCGGGCGUAACAGUGUGGCCCUUUGUGGCCCCCCCGUGUAUUUAUGAAUGGCCGAGCCUUAGGGCGAAGCCUCAGAACAAUGCCGCUACACUGAAGGACUGGUUUUCCUACGGGGGGGUGGUGAUGAUGGUGAUGGUGAUGAUGAUGAUGAUGGAGGAGGAGGUGUUGGUGGCGGGUUGACUCCCCACCGUUGGGGCUUGGUACAGAGAGUGGCGAGAGGUCUGGCUGGCGAGGGGGCUUUGCGCGUGAGACUCAGAGGGAAGGCUGCUGGAGCUACUGGAGGUCGUAGGUCGCCCACGCUCACCUACACAGAGAGGAGGCCUGUGGCUCACCAUCUGCCCGCCGGGGCCGGGAAUGCCAGGUGAAAAAAGGCAUUCUGAUACGAGCGGCCAAACCAACAGAGAAUUAAAGGGAAAGCAAACAAAUAAAUGUAGACUCAGAGCCACAUGCACGGGCCAAUAAAUACCAAGAAAGGUAAUCUUCCAGGUGGUUUAUGACACCUGCUCCCUCGUUUCAAUAAGUUAACAACCACCUACUUUGUGGGCAUAGAAAAUAUAAAUACUUAACGCAUCGAGCACUUCAAAGCAUCUACUGUAAGAGGCAACGGUUUUAUUGCAUCUGAUGAGCUGAAGUGUGGAUCUUUUCCUCCUGCCGGCGCCCUGCGCGGUGCCUUCGGCAACAGACCGUGUGACUGAACGUUGGCACGUCUCCGUGGUUGUGUUUGAAGCGAGUGUGCGCUGUUCUCAGGGCGGUGUGUGUGGGAGGGGGAGCGGUCAUGUUUUAAGACCAUCUGCUCCUCUGAGUAUUUUAGUGUGUGUGUGUGGGGGGGGGGCCUUAGCUUGCGUUGGACCAACGCGCGUCACGGGCAAACAGCAGAACGCAAGCUGUGAGCGGGCCUGUUCCGGAGAAAAAAAUUCCUCCACUUUCACACAAUGGGCAGUGUUCUGCAUACAAGGUUCCCAUUCUCCCCCACCACACCCGCCCCGUGUCCAAGAGCCCGAGCAAAACUCCUGUACACGGGCCACGGACGACAUUCACAAUGAAAAUGUUCUUCUUGGCACAGGCGAUUGUUUGUGCGAGCCCUUUGGUUGGCGUGAGACAUCUCAAUAAUGGAAGAUGACUCAUAAAAGGUGUCGUGGCCUGAUUGAGCGGAGCCGAUUUUUCUCCCCGCAUCGCGUUGCUCUUUAGACAUUGGAAAAAGGCAGAAAAUGUUGACCACAUGGCUUCUUUCUCAUUGACGGAGACAAACGUGACAUAAGUGUGUUCGUCUGGACCCUCACUCGGCCGCACGCUUCAUGUGCACACAAUGCCUACGGUCCCAGAAGGACAAUAGAGCAGGCUGAGCUUCCACUCAGCGGAGGAAGGUCACAUAUCUGCACACCCCACGCUGCGUAGUGUGUUUGCUCGCCUCGCGCUGCGUGUGUGUGUGUGUCUGUGUGUGUGUGCGUGGGCGGUGUGGCACGCUGCGUAUUCGUUUGAUCGAGGCUCCCGAGCGUCGCGGCAGCGCUCUCCCCGUCAGCUCUUGUUGACGGCGGGAUUCCCUCGAGGUCAUCGGCCGCUCGGGCCAUGCCGUCAUCUGGCCGCAGGCCUGGAGGGCUUUGGGCCGCAGUGACUCACCCUAACAUGAGAGUGGCAAAGAAAAGUUGCCUUUGUCACUUUUGUCAUGUAAACUAGGUGGACAUCGGAGUGAAUCCACGCUUGUGCGUCCCUGCCCACAGAAAUUCCUCCGCAGGGGAAAUAUUAAUACGGCUUGAAAGAUCAAUGAUGCCCUGAAGCUUUCUCUAGAAUUCAAAUGGUCUUGCGUUGGAUGUGUGUGAUUGAGGCUCUUUAAGACGCUGAUGUCUGACAAACCCUAAUCAAAGUAGUGUAGAUCUGUAAUCCACAUAACCACGUUGCAGCAUUUCAACAACAUUGACAUUAGACAUCAAAGCGUUGAUCUCAGAGGGACGGAUGAGGGAGACGGUGGAACCAAGGCGAGGAAUGCAGAGUGGGCCAAAGUUCGGCUCCAGAAAUGCCCGAACGCAUAUUCAUAGCCGCCCACGACAACCCCCCCCCCCCCCACCCCCUCUUUCCCCAUCUGACGUGGAGGAUUCGGAGCAAAGACGAGCGACUCAGGAGAACAGACACAGCGGGGCGGAUGGGGGGGGGCAAGAAGUUGAGCAGGAGCCUUGUGCUGAGGCGAGUGGUUUGUGUGCGCACGUAUGCUGUGUGCUCAGUGCCAGCCGUUUGCCCAUCCCAUCAAUGAGGCCGUUGUUGUUGUGGUUGGGGGGGAGCGGCGGCCUGGCGGCUCGGCCACUCCGCUUCCGGUGACACUCGCCUGUCUCUUGGCCUUUUGUUGCCGUGCGGGUGGUGGAGCCACAUUGGAGUUACGGCGGAACAGUUGCGUCACUCUAGUGAGACGUCUCAAAGUGGUGAUGAUCAAUUAUUUAUUUCACGUGGUAAGAUUUGAACGUAGAGAGUCAGUCAUCUGCUUAAUAAAGCCAUCAGUAGAUGGUGGAGACCAAAACAGAGCUAAAAUAAGGGGUCAAAAAGCUUACAAAUGGAUUAUGUUACUUUGGAAAUUCUGCUAACGAUUUCACUGCAUCAACUUAGAAAUUAAUGCUAAAUAUUCUUCUUAAAAACUAAAAGAAGAGUGGCAAUUUUCCAAGGAAAAUUCCAGUGAAAACAUUCUGUGCAUUUGUGACUGGAUGGUGGACGGUGAGCAGCAGGACAAAUCCAACAUAAAAUAACAGCGUUUUUCACUCCCCUCCAACC
This is a non-coding RNA of Gasterosteus aculeatus aculeatus (three-spined stickleback), 6018 nucleotides long. NCBI's taxonomy places the organism in Eukaryota, Metazoa, Chordata, Actinopteri, Perciformes, Gasterosteidae. The record is from RefSeq and is a predicted model, not a curated record.